UGAUGAUCAAAUGCGAAGGAUAGCUAACUUGGUAUAAACAAUGCCAAUGAAUAGCAGACAAGUCGUAUGGCAAGAAGGAAUCACUUACAGUCCAAAAAAUAGCAGAAGGAACAUCAGUAAAUGAUACCCGAGCGAGUCCAAAGUCACAAAGCUUCAGUUUGCAGUCCGCAUUAGCAAGUAUAUUUUUUGGCUUUAUAUCUCUAUGGAAAACAUGUGCUGAAACAUUGAAAGGAAAAGGUAAAAAAGUGCACAAAUUGGAGAAAACUCUACAGCAAUUGAUAUGUAAAAGAAAGCAACCUGUGUGAAUGUAUUUUAAACCUCGAAGAAGCUGGUACAAGAAAAAUUGAUGAUGUUCAGGGGUUAGAUCAUCAUUUAACUUUAUAACACGGUGAAGAUCAGAUUCCAUCAACUCAAAAACAACAAAUAUAUCUUUAAAUUCUCUUCUACAUGGGGGAAGCAUUAUGUGUUUUAUUUGAACUAUAUCUGGGUGUCGCAGCAGCCGUAGGAGUUUGAUCUCUCUAAGAAUGCGUGUAGCAUCAGAGGUGUGCUCAAAGAUAUUGGUCAUCUUCUUAAUAGCUACCUUCUCUCCAGUGUGAGUAUCUAUUGCAGAUGCAACCACACCAUAACUCCCUUUGCCAACUACUUCCUUUAUUUCAUAUUGACUUGCCUCACCAUAUUCAGUGAAAAAAUCUUUGUCAAACAUUUUCUGAUUAAAUAAAAUAACCAUUAGAUUCCCUCUGAAACAAAAUCAAUACACAAAACUUACACUACAAGUGUGCUCACAGCGUACUUGAAGUAAUACAAUGAAAGUGCGAAACCCUUAACAUUGAAUAGAUCUCAACCUUCUAAACAUUAGUUAUUCAGGGUUGCAUUUGGGAACUUGAUGAAAGGUGGAUUUGAAUUUCAAAUAUAGCAUAAGUUGUGCGGUAAUACCCAUGAAUGUAUAAGAUUUAUGAUUAUGCUCAAAUCCAUGGAUUUUGUUAGAUUUCUAUUACGUAGUGAAUUUGUACUACCGAGACUGGAAAAGUGAAUUUCAAAUAUAUCCCAUUACACUCUUUAAAAUGUUUAGGUGUAUGGAAGUUUUACUAAUAUUUUUAUACAGCAACUACACUCAUCUUCAUAAUUUAUGGAGAAAAUCAAAUCCAAAUUCACUACCCGAAAAUCUUGUUUCCAAACAAAGAACUAAAAUUUUAACAUCAAUAUUAUUCAAAGAUACGUGUUCAUGCAGACCUCUAGCAACACCAGCUAGUAAAUUAGAUGCAAACUUUAGCAUAUAGACAAGAUAAGGACAAAAACAUACACAUCAAAAACGAUUUUUUCCUAUCUAGUUAUAAAAUUUAGAAAUGUAAGAAUAAACUCUAUGAUUGGUAAAUGUUUUGAGACUUUAAAAAUCCCCAAGCAGACAUAUUACUUGUUAAAAAUCAAGAAAAGAAAAUCGACCCAAUAAGCUUGUAGGUAUUACCUUUAUUAUUCAAGUCCUUUUCAUCCUAAAGGCUAAAACAUCAAAAUUUCCAUUCUAUAAGCAAAACUUCAAAACAAUAUCACCCAUCAAGCAGAUAUUUAAACUCCACCAAACAGGGAAAAAAAAAACCCUAAAACUCAUUAAAAUAUAUAUAUAAAAAUAUUAAGGAGCAAGAAGAAAGAUUACUCUUUUUUUUUUUUGUCGGCGAACGACUCCAAGCCAGAAGCUGAAAAAGCUUGAAGAUUGGAGACACGAGCUUUAAAUAAUCACGGAGAGGAAGAUAUCAACUGCUCAAAUAGCACCUCC
This 1768-nucleotide long non-coding RNA is filed under the name Theobroma cacao (cacao). RNAcentral's name for it is "long non-coding RNA (TCAC_LNC001415)". Lineage: Eukaryota; Viridiplantae; Streptophyta; Magnoliopsida; Malvales; Malvaceae. The record is from RNAcentral.